This 321-nucleotide ribosomal RNA is filed under the name uncultured soil bacterium. RNAcentral's name for it is "bacterial SSU rRNA". It matches the Rfam family "Bacterial small subunit ribosomal RNA", at positions 26 to 351 of the family's 1533-position model. The record is from RNAcentral.
AGAUUGAACGCUGGCGGCAUGCUUUACACAUGCAAGUCGAACGGUAACAGGCCGCAAGGUGCUGACGAGUGGCGAACGGGUGAGUAAUGUAUCGGAACGUGCCCAGUCGUGGGGGAUAACGCAGCGAAAGCUGCGCUAAUACCGCAUACGAUCUAUGGAUGAAAGCGGGGGACCGUAAGGCCUCGCGCGAUUGGAGCGGCCGAUAUCAGAUUAGGUAGUUGGUGGGGUAAAGGCUCACCAAGCCAACGAUCUGUAGCUGGUCUGAGAGGACGACCAGCCACACUGGGACUGAGACACGGCCCAGACUCCUACGGGAGGCAG